This 245-nucleotide ribosomal RNA is filed under the name uncultured bacterium. Its description in RNAcentral is "partial small subunit ribosomal RNA". It matches the Rfam family "Bacterial small subunit ribosomal RNA", at positions 26 to 285 of the family's 1533-position model. The record is from RNAcentral.
AGAAUCAACGCUGGCGGUGUGCCUAACACAUGCAAGUCGAACGAGAAAGUGGAGCAAUCCAUGAGUAAAGUGGCGCACGGGUGAGUAACACGUGACUAACCUACCCUUGAGUGGGGAAUAACUUCGGGAAACCGAGGCUAAUACCGCAUAACACCUACGGGUCAAAGGAGCAAUUCGCUUAAGGAGGGGGUCGCGGCAGAUUAGUUAGUUGGCGGGGUAAUGGCCCACCAAGACGGUGAUCUGUA